RNAcentral lists this ribosomal RNA (301 nucleotides) under uncultured bacterium. RNAcentral's name for it is "partial 16S ribosomal RNA". It matches the Rfam family "Bacterial small subunit ribosomal RNA", at positions 509 to 807 of the family's 1533-position model. The record is from RNAcentral.
CAGCAGCCGCGGGAAUACGUAGGGUGCAAGCGUUAAUCGGAAUUACUGGGCGUAAAGCGUGCGCAGGCGGUUAUAUAAGACAGAUGUGAAAUCCCCGGGCUUAACCUGGGAACUGCAUUUGUGACUGGCCGGCUAGAGUAUGGCAGAGGGAGGUGGAAUUCCACGUGUAGCAGUGAAAUGCGUAGAUAUGUGGAGGAACACCGAUGGCGAAGGCAGCCUCCUGGGCCAAUACUGACGCUCAUGCACGAAAGCGUGGGGAGCAAACAGGAUUAGAUACCCCCGUAGUCCCUGUCUCUUAUAC